RNAcentral lists this unclassified non-coding RNA (299 nucleotides) under fungal sp. RNAcentral's name for it is "partial internal transcribed spacer region". The stretch from base 1 to 46 matches the Rfam family "Eukaryotic small subunit ribosomal RNA", at positions 1786 to 1831 of the family's 1831-position model. The record is from RNAcentral. Lineage: Eukaryota; Fungi.
AAGUCGUAACAAGGUUUCCGUAGGUGAACCUGCGGAAGGAUCAUUGCCGAUCGGACGCCACGCUGAGCUUUCGCGAGCUCUUCGUGGUGUCUUUUUCGACCAACCCAUGUGAACUCGUUUUAUGUGUUUAACAAAGCCCGCUCACGCACAUUCGUGUGUGUGUGCGGCUUUGUCCAAACAUUUUAUAACAAACCACAUCAUAUUGAACUCUUGACUGAGACAAUACAGGUCACGCCUAAAAAACGUUGAUCUCAAAAACCUAACCAUUACAACUUUUAACAACGGAUAUCUUGGCUCGC